GAGGGUAUAGCUCAGUGGUAGAGUGUGUACUUAGGAUGCACAGGGUUCUGGGUUCAAUCCCCAGUACCUCCA
Molecule: transfer RNA, 72 nt
Filed under: Camelus bactrianus (Bactrian camel)
Lineage: Eukaryota; Metazoa; Chordata; Mammalia; Artiodactyla; Camelidae
Also listed under: 2 other names
Rfam family: tRNA
About the family: Transfer RNA (tRNA) molecules are approximately 80 nucleotides in length. Their secondary structure includes four short double-helical elements and three loops (D, anti-codon, and T loops).
Source: Rfam by way of RNAcentral